AUCUCAUAUAAACUAAACAACAAGUUCUUAAAUCGAUUCAUGGGAGGAUAAAAUCAAACAAGUGGAAGUAUCAUUAAGAUCUUUUUUGUACUUCCUAUUGAUGGUGCUUCAUAGUAACUUAUCCAAACAUUU
Molecule: non-coding RNA, 132 nt
Organism: Helianthus annuus (common sunflower)
Lineage: Eukaryota; Viridiplantae; Streptophyta; Magnoliopsida; Asterales; Asteraceae
Source: Rfam